Molecule: ribosomal RNA, 466 nt
Filed under: uncultured bacterium
Lineage: Bacteria
Description: partial 16S ribosomal RNA
Rfam family: Bacterial small subunit ribosomal RNA
Source: RNAcentral
ACGAACGCUGGCGGCGUGCUUAACACAUGCAAGUCGAACGGAAAGGCCCUGCUUUUGUGGGGUGCUCGAGUGGCGAACGGGUGAGUAACACGUGAGUAACCUGCCCUUGACUUUGGGAUAACUUCAGGAAACUGGGGCUAAUACCGGAUAGGAGCUCCUGCUGCAUGGUGGGGGUUGGAAAGUUUCGGCGGUUGGGGAUGGACUCGCGGCUUAUCAGCUUGUUGGUGGGGUAGUGGCUUACCAAGGCUUUGACGGGUAGCCGGCCUGAGAGGGUGACCGGCACAUUGGGAACUGGGAUAGGGCCAGGACCCUACGGGGAGGAAGCGGUGGGAAUUAUGCAACAAGGGGCGAAACCUGAUGCAGCAACGCCGCGUGCGGGAUGACGGCCUUCGGGUUGUAAACCGCUUUCGCCUGUGACGAAGCGUGAGUGACGGUAAUGGGUAAAGAAGCACCGGCUAACUACGUG